This 184-nucleotide ribosomal RNA is filed under the name Drosophila moju. RNAcentral's name for it is "partial 16S ribosomal RNA". The record is from RNAcentral. Lineage: Eukaryota; Metazoa; Arthropoda; Insecta; Diptera; Drosophilidae.
UUAGAUUUUAUUUAUUAAUUUUAUUUAUUUAAAAAUAAAUUAUUAAAAAUAAUUUUUUAGGAAAAAGUUUUAGUAUUGUUUAAAGAAAAAAUAAAUUUAAUUAUAGUUAAAUAGUAUUGUAAAAGAAAAUUGAAAUAUUUUGAAAAAUUUUUAUUAAAAAAGAAAAUUUAAUUUAUUGUACCUU